CAAUAGCGUAUAUUAAAGUUGUUGCAGUUAAAAGCUCGUAGUUGGAUUUCUGGUGGGGGUGGUUUGGUCCGGCUCUAAUGAGUUUUGCGCCUAUACGUCUCCGCCAUCCUUGGGGAAAACUUGCUUGGCAUUAAGUUGUCGAGUUUGGGAUCCCCAUCGUUUACUGUGAAAAAUUAGAGUGUUCAAAGCAGGCUUAUGCCGUUGAAUACAUUAGCAUGGAAUAAUAAGAUAGGACCUUGGUACUAUUUUGUUGGUUUGCGUACCUAGGUAAUGAUUAAUAGGGACAGUUGGGGGUAUUCGUAUUCAAUUGUCAGAGGUGAAAUUCUUGGAUUUAUGAAAGACGAACUUCUGCGAAAGCAUUUGCCAAGGAUGUUUUCAUUAAUCAAGAACGAAAGUUGGGGGCUCGAAGACGAUCAGAU
RNAcentral lists this ribosomal RNA (419 nucleotides) under uncultured eukaryote. RNAcentral's name for it is "bacterial SSU rRNA". It matches the Rfam family "Eukaryotic small subunit ribosomal RNA", at positions 592 to 1013 of the family's 1831-position model. The record is from RNAcentral.